Molecule: long non-coding RNA, 312 nt
Filed under: Sus scrofa (pig)
Lineage: Eukaryota; Metazoa; Chordata; Mammalia; Artiodactyla; Suidae
Description: lncRNA (ENSSSCG00070000077.1)
Source: RNAcentral
AUGGCAGAGUUAUUUUGCUUACUAAAGGCCCGUUUUCUUUUCCUUUUAAAGACAUGCAACAGGAUUGUUUUUGCUUGUGAAAGAAUGAGUGGCGUCUGGGAUUUUCAUGACCAAGGAACAGAGCUGUUAGAGAUGGCUGAGAUGUUCUGUUUCAACAGAUGAAGCAGGGUAGAACAUCUGUUAUGUGAUAACUCGUAUGUGCUGUUCCCCAACCGGUAAGCAAUGCAUCCAAUGAAUUCACCUUAAGGAGAAGACCUGCACUGUGUGUGUGUGUGUGUGUGUGUGUGUGUGUGUGUGUACCUGCAAGGUGUG